This 440-nucleotide ribosomal RNA is filed under the name Enterococcus gallinarum. Its description in RNAcentral is "bacterial SSU rRNA". It matches the Rfam family "Bacterial small subunit ribosomal RNA", at positions 927 to 1361 of the family's 1533-position model. Lineage: Bacteria; Bacillati; Bacillota; Bacilli; Lactobacillales; Enterococcaceae. RNAcentral also lists the same sequence under 1 other name. The record is from RNAcentral.
CGCCACAAAGCGGUGGAGCAUGUGGUUUAAUUCGAAGCAACGCGAAGAACCUUACCAGGUCUUGACAUCCUUUGACCACUCUAGAGAUAGAGCUUUCCCUUCGGGGACAAAGUGACAGGUGGUGCAUGGUUGUCGUCAGCUCGUGUCGUGAGAUGUUGGGUUAAGUCCCGCAACGAGCGCAACCCUUAUUGUUAGUUGCCAUCAUUUAGUUGGGCACUCUAGCGAGACUGCCGGUGACAAACCGGAGGAAGGUGGGGAUGACGUCAAAUCAUCAUGCCCCUUAUGACCUGGGCUACACACGUGCUACAAUGGGAAGUACAACGAGUUGCGAAGUCGCGAGGCUAAGCAAAUCUCUUAAAGCUUCUCUCAGUUCGGAUUGUAGGCUGCAACUCGCCUACAUGAAGCCGGAAUCGCUAGUAAUCGCGGAUCAGCACGCCGCG